AUGGCCAGAGCAGCGGGCGAGAGGCCGCGGAAGGUCCCGGGUGGGCUGGAGGGCUGGGGAUGCUGGGGGCUUCGGGGCACUGGACAGGGCGGGCGGAAGGCCGAGCGAGCGCCAGCGGAGCGGCCUCUGCCUCCGUGUCCUUGUCUGGGGCGUGGAGACCAGAGCAGGGCCUGGGGUCAUGAGCUCGGGUCACCGCCUCCCGAGUGCCAAGAAGGGGGGGGAGCGCUGCCGGGAGCACGGCCUGUGGAGCCAGAGGCUGGAGGGGGGAGGGCGCGGGAGGGCGCGGGAGGCCGGGGCUGCGCCGGGGCUGCGGGCUGCCCUCCUCCCGCCGGGCCAUCCCCCAGAGGGCAGUGCAGGAUCACCUCUCGGCCACACGCAGUCUCCCCGCAGCCGGGAAGCGGCUCUCUCUGGAAUCCUUGCAAACGGGCCAACCUGCCAGGGUCGGAUGUUCCUCCCUCCUCGGCCAUGGGCCCGGGCGUGUCCUCCGGGCUCUGUGCGCUAUGUCACGGCGCCUUCCCCAGGGCGCCCGGCGCAGUGACUGUGGCCCCCCCACUUCAUGCAGAAGGAAGCCAAAGCCAGAGAGGUCAGGGCCCGCCCUGCCGAGGACCGUGUGUCGGGGCUGCAGGGCGCCGGUGGUGGGUCAUCACGGGAAGGGUCCCCGACCCCAUGUAUGGCCACCUGGUAACUUCUCUGGGUCCACAGAGCGGGGACCGGUCUGGCUGCACAGGCCUGGCACCCACUGCACACUCAGCGCUGCUCACCAUGGUCGGGAUUCAGACCCAGGGCUGUCGGUGUUUCCAGGAGGAAAGGCCGGAAGAGGGGAGAGCCCCCCGACCCGGGGCACCUGCACAGCACACCGGCUGUCUCGUCUCCCUGCAUCCCAGCUCUCGGACCUGCCCCCUUGCCCUGAGGCUGCAGCCCCCACAAGUGGGCGGGUGGCCCGGCAGCUGUGGGUCACCCCCUCCACCACACAACUCCCCACUGGGCCCACACCCUGCACCCUGCACCCCGCAGGGAGGCCCAGCGCACCAGCCUGGUGGGGAGGGCAGGCAGAGGUAG
This 1059-nucleotide long non-coding RNA is filed under the name Canis lupus familiaris (dog). RNAcentral describes it as "lncRNA (ENSCAFG00030007413.1)". Lineage: Eukaryota; Metazoa; Chordata; Mammalia; Carnivora; Canidae. The record is from RNAcentral.